GAGUUUUUUGUGGGGCGCCCCUCAUUAGUGCCCCGCCCUGCUGGGUACGGAGCAGCCAGAGCUCCUGGGAUUCAUUCAGGGCUGAGGAAUAUUUAAUGACUGCAUUUCAAAGAUGCUCCCUCCCACCACGCCACAGCCAUCACUCGCGUUGUAAACACACAUGAAAAUAGCAUCACUUCAGCCAAAGUGACCUGUUUUAGCCUCGAAGGCUUUUAAAGCAGCAGCUGUCAACUGCUCAACCAAUGAAAAAAGCUUCUGUAAAGUCUGAUCGUGGGCAGAAAUAAAAUGAGUGGAUCCUCUGUGGGUCUGCAGUGAGUCUGAUGGAUCUGAAGGAGACCUGAUCCUGUGGAAUCAGGGACUCCGUGGAUCUGCUGACUGAGGAUGGAUCCACCCCGGAGUCUGUUACUAUCUGGGAGUCCACACAGCCUGGUGCCUUUGACUGAUGGAUGCAUCAGAGGAUGAAUGUGUGAGCUGCCCCCACAAACUUUUUUCACCUGUGAAAGACUGUUUGUAAAAAAUCAGCUUCUGUUGGUUUGUUAGACGAGAUAAUGAUACAAUAAAUGGUUUCAAG
Oreochromis aureus is the source of this 571-nucleotide long non-coding RNA. Lineage: Eukaryota; Metazoa; Chordata; Actinopteri; Cichliformes; Cichlidae. The record is from Ensembl.